GGACUACUGGGGUAUCUAAUCCCGUUCGCUCCCCUAGCUUUCGUGCCUCAGCGUCAGAAGACACCCAGUAAGCCGCUUUCGCUCCUGGUGUUCCUUAGGAUAUCAACGCAUUUCACCGCUCCACCCUAAGUUCCGCUUACCUCUGUGUCCCUCGAGCCCGGUAGUUUUGCGCGCAAUUCCUCGGUUGAGCCGAGGGCUUUCACACACAACUUUCCGGGCCGCCUACGCACCCUUUAAGCCCAGUGAUUCCGAAUAACGUUUGGACGGUUCGUCUUACCGCGGCUGCUGGCAC
RNAcentral lists this ribosomal RNA (292 nucleotides) under uncultured Planctomycetota bacterium. RNAcentral's name for it is "uncultured planctomycete partial 16S ribosomal RNA". Lineage: Bacteria; Pseudomonadati; Planctomycetota. The record is from RNAcentral.